RNAcentral lists this ribosomal RNA (395 nucleotides) under uncultured bacterium. Its description in RNAcentral is "partial 16S ribosomal RNA". It matches the Rfam family "Bacterial small subunit ribosomal RNA", at positions 523 to 918 of the family's 1533-position model. The record is from RNAcentral.
AUACGUAGGGUGCAAGCGUUAAUCGGAAUUACUGGGCGUAAAGCGUGCGCAGGCGGUUUUGUAAGACAGUGGUGAAAUCCCCGGGCUCAACCUGGGAACUGCCAUUGUGACUGCAAGGCUGGAGUGCGGCAGAGGGGGAUGGAAUUCCGCGUGUAGCAGUGAAAUGCGUAGAUAUGCGGAGGAACACCGAUGGCGAAGGCAAUCACCUGGGCCUGCACUGACGCUCAUGCACGAAAGCGGGGGGAGCAAACAGGAUUAGAUACCCUGGUAGUCCACGCCCUAAACGAUGUCAACUGGUUGUUGGGGAUUUAUUUUCUCAGUAACGAAGCUAACGCGUGAAGUUGACCGCCUGGGGAGUACGGCCGCAAGGUUAAAACUCAAAUGAAUUGACGGGG